This 27-nucleotide ribosomal RNA is filed under the name Talaromyces radicus. RNAcentral's name for it is "partial 28S ribosomal RNA". Lineage: Eukaryota; Fungi; Ascomycota; Eurotiomycetes; Eurotiales; Trichocomaceae. The record is from RNAcentral.
GGUGACCUCGAUCAGGUAGGCCCAAAU